Molecule: ribosomal RNA, 407 nt
Filed under: uncultured bacterium
Lineage: Bacteria
Description: partial 16S ribosomal RNA
Rfam family: Bacterial small subunit ribosomal RNA
Source: RNAcentral
AUUGAACGCUGGCGGCAGGCCUAACACAUGCAAGUCGAGCGGAGCGGCGGACGGGUGAGUAAUGCCGAGGAAUCUGACUGGUAGUGGGGGAUAACGUCCGGAAACGGGCGCUAAUACCGAAUACUAUCAGAUGAGCCUAGGUCGGAUUAGCUAGUUGGUGGGGUAAAGGCCUAACAGGGCGACGAUCCGUAACUGGUCUGAGAGGAUGAUCAGGCACACUGGAACUGAGACACGUUCCAACCUCCGACGGGAGGCAGCAGGGGGGAAUUUUGGACAAUGGGCGAAGGCCUGAUCCAGCCAUGCCGCGUGUGUGAAGAAGGUCUUCGGAUGGUAAAGCACUUUAAGUUGGGAGGCGUUACCAACAGAAUAGGCACCGGCUAACAGCGUGCCAGCGGCCGCGGUAAUUC